UACGUAGGGCGCAAGCGUUGUCCGGAAUUAUUGGGCGUAAAGAGCUCGUAGGCGGUUUGUCGCGUCUGCUGUGAAAACCUAAGGCUCAACCUUGGGCUUGCAGUGGGUACGGGCAGACUAGAGUGCGGUAGGGGUGACUGGAAUUCCUGGUGUAGCGGUGGAAUGCGCAGAUAUCAGGAAGAACACCUAUGGCGAAGGCAGCACUCUGGGACGGUACUGACGCUGAGACGCGAAAGCGUGGGGAGCGAACAGG
RNAcentral lists this ribosomal RNA (253 nucleotides) under uncultured bacterium. Its description in RNAcentral is "partial 16S ribosomal RNA". It matches the Rfam family "Bacterial small subunit ribosomal RNA", at positions 524 to 776 of the family's 1533-position model. The record is from RNAcentral.